Molecule: ribosomal RNA, 726 nt
Filed under: uncultured bacterium
Lineage: Bacteria
Description: bacterial SSU rRNA
Rfam family: Bacterial small subunit ribosomal RNA
Source: RNAcentral
GGAGAGUUUGAUCCUGGCUCAGAUUGAACGCUGGCGGCAGGCCUAACACAUGCAAGUCGAGCGGAUGAAGGGAGCUUGCUCUCUGAUUCAGCGGCGGACGGGUGAGUAAUGCCUAGGAAUCUGCCUGGUAGUGGGGGACAACGUUUCGAAAGGAACGCUAAUACCGCAUACGUCCUACGGGAGAAAGCAGGGGACCUUCGGGCCUUGCGCUAUCAGAUGAGCCUAGGUCGGAUUAGGUAGUAGGUGAGGUAAUGGCUCACCUAGGCGACGAUCCGUAACUGGUUUGAGAGGAUGAUCAGUCACCCUGGAACUGAGACCCGGUCCAGACUUCUACGGGAGGCAGCAGUGGGGAAUAUUGGACAAUGGGCGAAAGCCUGAUCCAGCCAUGCCGCGUGUGUGAAGAAGGUCUUUGGAUUGUAAAGCACUUUAAGUUGGGAGGAAGGUCAGUAAGUUAAUACCUUUCUGUUUAGACGUUACCAACAGAAUAAGCCCCGGCUAACUUCGUGCCAGCAGCCGCGGUAAUUCGAAGGGUGCAAGCGUUAAUUGGAAUUUCUGGGCGUAAAGCGCGCGUAGGUGGUUCAGCAAGUUGGAGGUGAAAUUCCCGGGCUCAACCUGGGAACUGCCUCCAAAACUAGUGAGCUAGAGUACGGUAGAGGGUAGUGGAAUUUCCUGUGUAGCGGUGAAAUGCGUAGAUAUAGGAAGGAACACCAGUGGCGAAGGCGACUA